CCUAUUCAAUUGGCGGUAAGGAACGAUGAAGAAUUGAGCAAGUUGCUUGGUGCUGUUACAAUAGCCAACGGUGACGUGAUGCCUAACAUUCACAAUCUCUUGUUGCCGAAGAAGACUGGUAACGGUUCGUCAAAGUCCAUUGCUGCUGAUGACGACAGUUAAAUAAUCGCUGCUUUUGGUAGAAGAUCAAUUGAAGUCAGAAGAAUGGAAACAUGCAGGGAGGAAGUGGUUGCUGUUAGAUUCUAAUUCUUUGUUAUCUUUUAACCCUUUUUAAUGAUAGAAACUUGUUGUGUAGUGGGUUUUCCUUUCUUUUUAUAUAAAAUC
Molecule: long non-coding RNA, 324 nt
Organism: Telopea speciosissima
Lineage: Eukaryota; Viridiplantae; Streptophyta; Magnoliopsida; Proteales; Proteaceae
Exons: 3
Source: RefSeq, a predicted model, not a curated record